UUCCGGUUGAUCCUGCCGGAGGUCAUUGCUAUUGGAGUCCGAUUUAGCCAUGCUAGUUGCACGAGUUCAGACUCGUAGCAGAUAGCUCAGUAACACGUGGCCAAACUACCCUAUGGAGCCGACCAACCUCGGGAAACUGAGGCUAAUUCGGCAUACGAAUCCCAGGCUGGAACUGCCGGGAUUGAGAAACGCUCCGGCGCCAUAGGAUGUGGCUGCGGCCGAUUAGGUAGACGGUGGGGUAACGGCCCACCGUGCCCAUAAUCGGUACGGGUUGUGAGAGCAAGAGCCCGGAGACGGUAUCUGAGACAAGAUACCGGGCCCUACGGGGCGCAGCAGGCGCGAAACCUUUACACUGCACGACAGUGCGAUAAGGGGACUCCAAGUGCGAGGGCAUAUCGUCCUCGCUUUUCACUACCGUAAGGUGGUAGUAGAAUAAGUGCUGGGCAAGACCGGUGCCAGCCGCCGCGGUAAUACCGGCAGCACGAGUGAUGACCGCUCUUAUUGGGCCUAAAGCGUCCGUAGCUGGCCACGCAAGUCUAUCGGGAAAUCCGCGCGCCCAACGCGCGGGCGUCCGGUGGAAACUGCGUGGCUUGGGACCGGAAGACCUGAGGGGUACGUCCGGGGUAGGAGUGAAAUCCCGUAAUCCUGGACGGACCACCGGUGGCGAAAGCGCCUCAGGAAGACGGAUCCGACGGUGAGGGACGAAAGCUCGGGUCACGAACCGGAUUAGAUACCCGGGUAGUCCGAGCUGUAAACGAUGUCUGCUAGGUGUGACACAGGCUACGAGCCUGUGUUGUGCCGUAGGGAAGCCGUGAAGCAGACCGCCUGGGAAGUACGUCCGCAGGGAUGAAACUUAAAGGAAUUGGCGGGGGAGCACUACAACCGGAGGAGCCUGCGGUUUAAUUGGACUCAACGCCGGA
Molecule: ribosomal RNA, 920 nt
Filed under: uncultured archaeon
Lineage: Archaea
Description: bacterial SSU rRNA
Rfam family: Archaeal small subunit ribosomal RNA
Source: RNAcentral